AAAGAGGGCUAAUGACGGUACCGUAAGAAUAAGCACCGGCUAACUACGUGCCAGCAGCCGCGGUAAUACGUAGGGUGCAAGCGUUAAUCGGAAUUACUGGGCGUAAAGCGUGCGCAGGCGGUUAUGUAAGACAGUUGUGAAAUCCCCGGGCUCAACCUGGGAACUGCAUCUGUGACUGCAUAGCUAGAGUACGGUAGAGGGGGAUGGAAUUCCGCGUGUAGCAGUGGAAUGCGUAGAUAUGCGGAGGAACACCGAUGGCGAAGGCAAUCCCCUGGACCUGUACUGACGCUCAUGCACGAAAGCGUGGGGGAGCAAACAGG
RNAcentral lists this ribosomal RNA (320 nucleotides) under uncultured Comamonadaceae bacterium. Its description in RNAcentral is "bacterial SSU rRNA". It matches the Rfam family "Bacterial small subunit ribosomal RNA", at positions 458 to 776 of the family's 1533-position model. Lineage: Bacteria; Pseudomonadati; Pseudomonadota; Betaproteobacteria; Burkholderiales; Comamonadaceae. The record is from RNAcentral.